This 3434-nucleotide long non-coding RNA is filed under the name Nicotiana tabacum (common tobacco). RNAcentral describes it as "long non-coding RNA (NTAB_LNC005564)". The record is from RNAcentral. Lineage: Eukaryota; Viridiplantae; Streptophyta; Magnoliopsida; Solanales; Solanaceae.
CCAAAACAUGAUGAUACAAAUAGUUUUCAAUCAAAUACGCAGUUAAGCAGUCAUACGGGACAGACUAAGUCAUAAUUCCCAAUGGUGUAUGACCCCAUGCUCGUCAUCUAGCAUGUGCAUCACCUCAAAAUAGCACAACGAUGUGAAAUCCGGGGUUUCAAACCUUUAAGACAAUAUUUACAACCAUUACUUACCUCUAUCCGGUCCAAACUCUAGCCCACGAUACCUUUGCCUCCCGAAUCAGUCUCCAAUUGCUCCGAAUCUAACCAAAAUCAGUUCCACAUCAUUAAUACACGCUAAAGGAACAAAGCCCAAGCGAAAAUAAUCGAAUUAACUCAAAAAUCCCGAAAUUGGCCAAACCGGCCCCUGGGACCACUUCUCGGAAUCCAAUAAAAAUCAUAUCAAUAGAAUCCUCAUCCUCUCACGAGUCUAAACAUACUAAGAACAUCAAAAUCGGACCUCAAAUAACCCCUCAAAUCCCAAAUUCCACUCUCCAAUGUUUCUUCAAAUUUUCAUCCCAAUUUCCCAAAUUAAAUGACAAAAAUUAAGACAAAAUCAUGGUAUUAAAUCAAAUUUGGGUGAAGAAUACUUACCCCAAUCCAUUCUCUGAAAAUCCCCUUCAAAAUCGUCUUCUCCCGAGCUCCAUAACUCCGAAAUGCAAAAAUGGCCGAAAUCCUCAAAAUAGAGUACUUUAUAAAGCUGCCCAGGCCUCAUCUUUAGCGAACGCGGGACGACCAUUGCGUCCGCGAUGAAGAAAAAAUACCAGCUCCCAAAAUGCUCUACACGUUCGCGACACAAGCCACACGAACGCAAUACCUACUGGGUACAUAACUACGCGAACACGACAUCCAAAGCGCGAACCUGAAGAACACAACAUCACAACAUCGCGAACGUGACACCCAAAGCACGAACACCCUUCGCGAACGGUAGUCCCUGACCGCAAACGCGAAGAACAAAUCGUCUGCAACAAAAACUAGCAAAAACUGCCAAGUCCAAAGUUCAAAAUUGAUCCGUUUACCAUCCGAAACUCACCCGAGGCCCUCGGGACCUCAACCAAACAUGCCAACAUAUCCCAUAUCGUCAUUCAAACUUGUUCCAACUUUCGGAACGCUCAAAACAGCAUCAAAACAUCAAAUCAUCAUCGGAUCCAAGCCUAAGAAUCCCAAAAACUUCCGAAUUCCGAAUUCGAUCAAAAAGUCUAUCAAAUGAUACCAUGGACCUAUUCCAACUUCCGGAAUUCCAUUCUGACCCCGAUAUCAAAUCUCGCCUAUCAACCGGAAAACGCCAAAAUCCCAAUUUCGCCAAUUCGAGCCUAAACCUUCCGCGGACCUCCAAAAUACAUUCCGAUCAUGCUCCUAAGUCCCAAAUCACCUAACGGAGCUAACCAAAUCAUAAAAAUUCUAAUCCGGGAUCAUACACUAACAAGUCAAACCUUGGUCAAACCUUUCAAAUUUUAAGCUUCAAACUGAGAGUUGUUCUUCCAGAUUCAUUCCGAUUACCCUGAAAACCAAAACCGAUGAUUACAUAAGUCAUAAUACAUCACACGGGGCUAAUCUUACCCGAGAACUGACGAGCAGAAAAUAAAAGUUCAAAACGAUCGGUCAGGUCGUUACAAUUACUACUUAUAUAAAGGUAGAAACUAAUAACUUACAUUAGGAAGAAGAGUUAUGGUACGACAGGAUCACCAUUCUCCUCCCACGACAUAAAUUUAAUAUUGAAUCGUAUUCGCCUCAUUUACUAUCUGCAAAUCACUGAGAACAUAUUUCUACUCAAUCCAGGCUUAUUCAUAAUUUCAAAUAAAUUUAUUUGAAACAGCCUCUGCAUAUUAAUUGCAAACCAAUUAUUAUUCUAGUCAUAUUAAAGAAGUACCACUGCUGAAAGAAAUUGUUGAUCAAGCGUGUACAACAGAAAAGGAUCAAAACUUCAGAGUUUGCAUAGAACAAUUCAUCAGUUAAAGCCUCAUUAAGCUCUCAUAUACAUUCAAAUCCGACUGUCAAAAAAAUUAUCACACAAUAAAAACCAAACAACUGAAGAAAUAUCAGAACUAACAAUUUCAUCAAUCAAGCAAGUAAAACUACAAAGGUCAGCACCAACCAUUAAAUAUUGCAAUAACAUUUUCAAAACUUACAAAAAAUAAUUUUAUAAAAAACUUAAAUUUUCACAUUGUUGCAUAAAACUUUUUAUGUCAAGAUCAGCACAACGUUUCUUAAAUUAACCACAAUCAUGCGAAACCAAAAACUUACUUCAUAAGGUAUGAAAAUAUUUUAGAAUCUUAGUACAAAACCAACAAUAGCAAAAUAGUUAAUUUGAAAUUAUAAAAAUUACUCAAUAGAUAUGAACCUCAUCGCGACUGUUAUCGAUUAUUUCUUUCAUCCAUAAAAUCUCCAAAAAUGACACAUGUUAGUAUUCACAAAUUACUUGACUUCAUGGGGUUGAUCUUCACUUUGGGGCUAGCAGACGUGACUAUCUCAUCAUGAGUAGAUGUUUUGAACACAAGAACCUUCAUGUUAGUAGCCUUAUUGAAGAAACUUUCAAGAAUAUUGAAUGUCUUCUUUGUUGAUCAUUCUUAAAGGAGAAGCGAAGACUUAAGGCAUUACCUCAUUAUAGGGAAACCACCGAUCACCAGAGAAUUGACUUUCGGUUGAAUAACUUUGGCAUUGGAUCCUUUUUAUCAUCCGCAAUUUCAUGAUAUGGAUUUGGAAUUUCCUAAUAUUUCAAGUGCAUCAUGGUAGCUUGAUAUUGAACUCAAAUUGUAAAUCUAUAGAAGUGCAAGCGAAAGAAAAUGAAAGCGUUAAAAUAAAAAAUACUAUAUAUCAAAAAGAGACGAUGCACCAGCAAAAUAUAAUUUUUGCUGUGAGAAAGCGCAAAGUUGUUAAAAGCACAACGACAAAAAUCAAAAUUGAGCUCAAAAAAAUAUCUGUAUAAAUUUAUAGAGAAUCUUAACCUAAUUUUUGUAUAUAUUGUAGCUCCACAAGUUCUAUUUCCAACGGCACAAACAGAUCAUAGUUUUGACGUGUUUGCAGAAAGAUAUGAUUUUUUUAGUGAGGACGCGUAAAGAUAUGAAAAUCAGAAUACCAAUAUUUUUGAAAUAGAUUCAAAAGUAUAUAUUUAUAAAUAUACAAAGAAUCUGGAUUUGUUUUCUGUAUAUGUUUUAGUUCUAGAAGUGCUCUUUUCAAUGGCACAAGCAAAUUAUGAUUUUGAUGCGUCUACAAAGAGAUAUAACUUUUUUCCGUCGAGACGCGUUGUUUCCAAAAAAUUUCAUUGAAUUAUUUGAGGACAGAAGGAUUGGGAAGAAAGGAAGUGCAAAGAACAGAGAAGCGGUGUGUACCUCUUCUGUGACCUAACUUCAUGAGGUUGAUCUAACGAUGUAUCUCCACGCCAAAACUUUUAAAAGAAUUGCUUCUUAAAGUUACACAUGUUCAACAACCAAUAAG